Carcharodon carcharias (great white shark) is the source of this 101-nucleotide long non-coding RNA. RefSeq lists it as uncharacterized. The transcript is spliced from 3 exons. NCBI's taxonomy places the organism in Eukaryota, Metazoa, Chordata, Chondrichthyes, Lamniformes, Lamnidae. The record is from RefSeq and is a predicted model, not a curated record.
UCAGAAAGAGGAUCAAAAUGGAACUGUCAAAAUCAGGCGAGGGAAGGCACUUUGAAGAGGAUUCUAACGCAAGGAUUUCUGUGCAAGAACAAGGUUGUUUG